This is a long non-coding RNA of Passer domesticus (house sparrow), 1333 nucleotides long. RefSeq lists it as uncharacterized. The record is from RefSeq and is a predicted model, not a curated record. Lineage: Eukaryota; Metazoa; Chordata; Aves; Passeriformes; Passeridae. The transcript has 2 exons.
UUUGGCCCUUCUGACUUCAGUUUGAGGGGGUAAAGGGCUUGCUGCAGGAGAAAACUCUUCAGAGAAAAGCAAACGUUUUCCUUUUUGCUACAGCACCUUGGAUUGAAGCGGCAGACACGGGGUACCCCUGGAUUAAGAGGCAAUGAUCUGGUGUGGCAUUGCUGAAACCUGAGUGGACCCUGGCUCCUCCUCACUACCUCCCUGACUUAUGGCAACUCCUCACCCGUUCCUGAAGGCUACCGGAGUGACACCUUCGAAUGGACAAGACCAAGGCUUUAUCACAGAGCCCUGUACUAAUUCCUAACUUCCCACCAAGGAGAUGAACCGGGUCUGUUGGCCCACUUGUAAGGGAGUCUGGGCAUAACAUGAAUGGACCAUCUAAAACGCACAAUCAAAAAUGGAUGGUUAGAAUUCCAGCAGAAGCACCACUACCCUAAGCACACAAAUAUAUAAAUUUUAAAAAACAAAACUCAAAAAAUUCCACCAAAAAAAAGCCACCUCCAAUUACCCACAACCACACUACCUAAUGUAAUAACAAAGACCCUACGUCCAAUACCUUUAAUGAAACCUCUAAAAUCUAUGCCAAAAACCCCAUAAAACUAAAAAAAAACUUGCCUUGAACCAAAUAAGAACCAAAAAAAAGUCUUAUAAACUAUACCAAAUUAUUAACCUAAGCAUAUCAAAUCCACCCAAGUAUAAAACCUGAUCACCGGUACACAGUACACACUAAUUUCAUCACAACAUGUAAAACAAAACCUAUUUCUAUUACUAAUGUAAUAAAAACUUCACAAAAUUUAACUGCAAUAAAACCUUAAAAUCUUACUAAAAAUAAAAUUUUAUAAUUCUAUUAUAACCUGAAAACUCAUACAUUCUAAACAUGAACUUUCUGCAAAACAAAUAUUUCUAAAACCCAAAAAUCUCAAAUACACAUUAAAAAUAACUACUAUACAGCCAAAAAACAUAAAACAAUUAAACACCUGACUUCAACUAUUGAACACCAUCUCUACAACUCUUCUUAAAAAACACCCCAACAAACACCAAUUACCACCUCAACAAUACACCACCAGCAACACCAAACAACUCAAAAUACUCUAAUUCCCAUCCAAAAAACACUCUGUAAACUAAAACACCGAAAGAAAUCAACAAAACCCACUCAUCCUUCAAUAACCCCAUUUAACCUACACAUGUAACUGAAUGAAAUAAAAAUUUACUAUAAAGUAUCAUACCUUAAAUAACUCCACCAUUAAACGCUGCUGUACCAAACUUAUUUAAAAAAUCACAAAAGCAAACUACAAGUAGUAAAUAAUACCAAAAAAUAAAACAGGACACUAUA